This 253-nucleotide ribosomal RNA is filed under the name uncultured bacterium. RNAcentral's name for it is "partial 16S ribosomal RNA". It matches the Rfam family "Bacterial small subunit ribosomal RNA", at positions 524 to 776 of the family's 1533-position model. The record is from RNAcentral.
UACGUAGGGUGCGAGCGUUAAUCGGAAUUACUGGGCGUAAAGCGUGCGCAGGCGGUUUUGUAAGUCAGAUGUGAAAGCCCCGGGCUCAACCUGGGAACUGCGUUGAAACUGCAAGGCUAGAGUGUAGCAGAGGGGGGUAGAAUUCCACGUGUAGCAGUGAAAUGACGUAGAGAUGUGGAGGAAUACCGAUGGCGAAGGCAGCCUCUGGGCCCAACACUGACGCUCAUGCACGAAAGCGUGGGGAGCAAACAGG